CCUACGGGUGGCAGCAGUGGGGGAUAUUGGACAAUGGGCGAAACCCUGAUCCAGCGACGCCGCGUGUGGGAAGACGGUCCUCUGGAUUGUAAACCACUUUUCACAGGGACGAAGAUGACGGUACCUGGGGAGGAAGCUCCGGCUAACUACGUACCAGCAGCCGCGGUAAUACGUAGGGAGCGAGCGUUUUCCGGAAUUACUGGGGGUAAAGGGAGCGUAGUCGGUGAUGCAAGUUGGGUGUAAAAACUACCGGCUCAACUGGUAGUCGCACUCAAAACUGCAGCUCUUGAGUGAAGUAGAGGCAUGCGGAAUUCCUAGUGUAGCGGUGAAAUGCGUAGAUAUUAGGAGGAACACCAGUGGCGAAGGCGGCCUGCUGGGCUUUUACUGACGCUGAGGCUCGAAAGUGUGGGGAGCAAACAGGAUUAGAUACCCUAGUAGUC
Molecule: ribosomal RNA, 440 nt
Filed under: uncultured bacterium
Lineage: Bacteria
Description: partial 16S ribosomal RNA
Rfam family: Bacterial small subunit ribosomal RNA
Source: RNAcentral